Molecule: ribosomal RNA, 253 nt
Filed under: uncultured bacterium
Lineage: Bacteria
Description: partial 16S ribosomal RNA
Rfam family: Bacterial small subunit ribosomal RNA
Source: RNAcentral
UACGGGGGGUGCAAGCGUUGUCCGGAAUCACUGGGCGUAAAGGGCGCGUAGGUGGUUUGAUAAGGGUGUGGUGAAAGCCCGGGGCUCAACCCCGGGUCUGCCGUGCCGACUGUCAAACUCGAGGGCUGUAGAGGCAGACGGAAUUCCGGGUGUAGCGGUGGAAUGCGUAGAGAUCCGGAGGAAGACCGGUGGCGAAGGCGGUCUGCUGGGCAGUUUCUGACACUGAGGCGCGACAGCGUGGGGAGCAAAUAGG